RNAcentral lists this ribosomal RNA (492 nucleotides) under uncultured bacterium. RNAcentral describes it as "partial 16S ribosomal RNA". It matches the Rfam family "Bacterial small subunit ribosomal RNA", at positions 29 to 507 of the family's 1533-position model. The record is from RNAcentral.
AGUGAACGCUGGCGGUAGGCCUAACACAUGCAAGUCGAACGGCAGCACAGUAAGAGCUUGCUCUUACGGGUGGCGAGUGGCGGACGGGUGAGGAAUACAUCGGAAUCUACUUUUUCGUGGGGGAUAACGUAGGGAAACUUACGCUAAUACCGCAUACGACCUACGGGUGAAAGCAGGGAAUCUUCGGACCUUGCGCGAUUGAAUGAGCCGAUGUCGGAUUAGCUGGUUGGCGGGGUAAAGGCCCACCAAGGCGACGAUCCGUAGCUGGUCUGAGAGGAUGAUCAGCCACACUGGAACUGAGACACGGUCCAGACUCCUACGGGAGGCAGCAGUGGGGAAUAUUGGACAAUGGGCGCAAGCCUGAUCCAGCCAUACCGCGUGGGUGAAGAAGGCCUUCGGGUUGUAAAGCCCUUUUGUUGGGAAAGAAAAGCAGCAGGUUAAUACCCCGCUGUUCUGACGGUACCCAAAGAAUAAGCACCGGCUAACUUCGUG